CGGUUGGUUGAUACUCGAUCUAAUUGCUAUAUAUGACCAUGAGACCGAUAGCAAAGAAUGUACCGUGAGGGAAAGGUGAAAAGAACUUUGAAGAGAGAGUUAAAAAGUACGUGAAACCGUUCAGGGGUAAACCUGAGAAACUCAAAAUUUCGAAAACGGGGAAGAUUCAUCGUCAAACGCCUCGGUAUCCGUGCGACGCGCGAUGCUCGGGACUUCGGUUCCGAGUCACGCCGUUGCUGCGCGAUAAUCCCGGGGCGGUCGGCGUGCACUUCUUCCCCAGUAGAACGUCGCGACCCGUUGAGUGCUCGUCAAAGGCGCCGGGAUGGUCGACUGUCGCGCGGAUCGCAAGAUCUCAGCGCGGCAGACCGCUUGGACCGCCCGACGAGCUGCUCGACGGUAGUCUCUUAAGCACAAGGCACUGAGCCGCAGCUUCGAAUGCGUUCAGGCGCUCCGGCAGGUGAGGGCCAUCCGGGUUGCGGACUCUGCGCCGCUUCUCGGAUCGCGUUCUCGCCGGCCGCCGGGGCUGUUCUCGAACCGGCUCUCUCAUUGCCCGUCGGCGACGCUACUGCUUUGGGUACUUUCAGGACCCGUCUUGAAA
RNAcentral lists this ribosomal RNA (598 nucleotides) under Erythmelus israeliensis. RNAcentral's name for it is "partial large subunit ribosomal RNA". It matches the Rfam family "Eukaryotic large subunit ribosomal RNA", at positions 289 to 659 of the family's 3401-position model. The record is from RNAcentral. Lineage: Eukaryota; Metazoa; Arthropoda; Insecta; Hymenoptera; Mymaridae.